AUGAAGCAAAUUGCUAACGGUCAGGAGGUGGAUGUUUUAAGUGAGAGAAAAGGGAACUGCGGAAGAAAGCCAAAAGACAUCAAUCUAGAUCAAAUACCUACCAUCCCACUUAACAAGAGGUCUACUAUCAGGUCACUUGCUUGGCAACUCGGGUGCAGCCCUACGACACUCCAUCGGAAUUUCAUGCUG
This 189-nucleotide ribosomal RNA is filed under the name Triticum aestivum (bread wheat). Its description in RNAcentral is "partial small subunit ribosomal RNA". Lineage: Eukaryota; Viridiplantae; Streptophyta; Magnoliopsida; Poales; Poaceae. The record is from RNAcentral.